GACGAACGCUGGCGGCGUGCUUAACACAUGCAAGUCGAACGGAAAGGCCCUGCUGUUGUGUGGUGCUCGUGUGGCGAACGGGUGAGUAACCAGUGAGUAACCUGCCCUGGACUUUGGGAUAACUUCGUGAAGUGGGGGCAAAUACCGGGUAGCAGCUCCACCAGCCUGGUGGGGGUGGAAACAUUUCGUCGGUUGGGGAUGGGGCUGCGGCUACUCAGCUUGUGGGGGGGGCAGUGUCUUCCCAAGGCUUCGACGGGUGGCGGGCCGGAGAGGGUGACCGGGCACCUUGGGACUGAAGUAAGGCCCAGACUCCUACGGGAGGGAGCAGUGGGAGAUAUUGCACGAUGGGGGGAAGCCUGAUGAAGCAACGACGCGUGCGGGAUGAAGGCCUUCGGGUUGUAACCCGCUUUGGCCUGUGACGAAGCGUGAGUGGCGGUAAUGGGUAAAGAAGCACCGGCUAAGUACGUG
Molecule: ribosomal RNA, 468 nt
Filed under: uncultured bacterium
Lineage: Bacteria
Description: partial 16S ribosomal RNA
Rfam family: Bacterial small subunit ribosomal RNA
Source: RNAcentral